Molecule: long non-coding RNA, 1451 nt
Organism: Sipha flava (yellow sugarcane aphid)
Lineage: Eukaryota; Metazoa; Arthropoda; Insecta; Hemiptera; Aphididae
Exons: 2
Source: RefSeq, a predicted model, not a curated record
GAUUUAUUAUUUAAUAUCAAAAUUUGAUUUACUUAUGAACUCAGAACAUUGACUUUCAAGCCCAAGUAGUAAUUGAAAUGUGUUUUUACAUUGUACACUUUUUUCGUGAACCCCUUAUACAAACUAAUAUAUAACACUAAUAUGGACUAAUAUAACUAAUAUGGAUGUGAGGUGUGGCCUUUGACAAGCAAAAUGGAACAAAAACGUCGUUCGAAAACAAAAUACUGAGAUUCAUCUACGGCCCAGUAUACGACAAUGACCUGGGGUGUUGGCAUAGAAGGAAGAACAAAGAAACCCGAGAGUUGACAAGAAUAACAAGGAUAACCAACUUUGUAAAGGCCAAAGAAUAUAAUGGUUUGGGCACGUGAUGAGAAGGUCUAACUCAGAGUACCUUAAAACGACAGCUGAAUGGAAACCCAUAGGAAAAAGACCAAUAGGACGUCCAAAGAAGCGAUGGAUAGAUGGAGUAAAGCAGGAUUUAGAGAAAUUAGGGAUACCAAAUUGGAGAGAAAAAAUACAAAAUCGAGAGAAGUGGAACAUUGUGAACAAAGUUUAACAUUGUGUGUAUCGAUUUACGUUUGCAUUAAAAAUUAAUAUACAUGUUAAAUUACAUGUAUAUGUUAUGCCGAAUUUAUGAAAUUACCGAUUUCAUGAAACCAGCAACGUUAUCACCGAAACAUGAAAUCGGUAAAGCCCUUCUUAAAUAAUUAUAAAGCAAAAUUUAAUUUAAAUAAAUGUGUAAAACAUCAGAAAUAUAAUAAAAUAAUAAAUACAUUUUAAUGUGCACAAAAAGGAAAUAAAAAAAAUUGUAUUAUAUUUAAAUAUUUUGGCAAGUAUGGCCUGAGUUACACGCCGAAUUACACAUCAUAUUAUUUUUUUUACAUGUGCACUUUUUAAAUAUGCAAUUCGUACAAGUACUUCAAUAUAUAGCCAAUCAAUAGCCUUGUCCGGCCUCAACUGACCUCAUUCUAACAAGUUCCCGUAAUCAAUAUUAAUUUUGUUGAACGUCUGCAGUCGUCAGGGAACAGUACUUUGUAGCUGCCAAACUGUUCCGCUCCAACCAUGUGCUUAAAACCCCUUCUUUAGUCCCAAUACGAAAUUUGUUAUCUUUUUUUCUAUGAUAAUUGCAAGAAGGUUGGCUGGAUCACCUCGCCCUCAAUCCACAGACGGGAUUGACACCAGUACAUUGUCACCGACUUUUAAAGGAGAGAGGAAAUUUUCAAUUACUUCCAUAAGCCACUAUUUGUAAAUUAUAUCAUAAUGAUGUGUUACCGAAUUCGUGCAAUCGGUAGAAAAAGGCUGCCUAACUCACGAAAUCAGCAAUCAAAAUUUUCCGAUUUUGUGAAUUUGGUAGCCAAAUUGCCGAUUGCACAUAUUUGGUGACAAUGUUUCAUGAAAUCGACAAUUUCAUAAAUUCGGCGUAACAUAUACAAGUAUAAUUUUGAAUUAUA